RNAcentral lists this long non-coding RNA (762 nucleotides) under Cricetulus griseus (Chinese hamster). RNAcentral's name for it is "lncRNA (ENSCGRG00015039019.1)". The record is from RNAcentral. Lineage: Eukaryota; Metazoa; Chordata; Mammalia; Rodentia; Cricetidae.
GUAGGUGUGGCUGGGCGGGGCAGCGGCUCCCGGCAUCCCAGCGCAGUGUGUAGACGCUCAGUAAAUGUUUACUGAAUGACUAGCAGGGAGGGAAGGUCAGCGCCGGAGGAACUGUUUUAAGAAGAUUCCAGGGGACUGAAGUAGUGCAACAGGAGAGGAUCACCUGACCCCUGAAAAGCCUGAGGAUAAAUACGAGGGAAAAGUGUGGCGAGCCGAGGGGGGAAAAACACUACAUCUGUAAACAGUGUCCAUAUUGGAAAAAUGGAGAGUCCAGCCUUGGUAGAGAUGCUGCUUUCUGGAUGAUGGCCCUGGCUCCGGGUUUCACAGGAGGCAGAUGAGAGGUUUUCCCAGCUGCUGGGAACUGAGAAGACUAUUAACGUGCCCAGAGCGAAUGAUGAAACACAAAGUGUGUAUAAGGAACCGGGUAAAAGCGAAGGUGGAUAAUGGUCUCUGGAGAAGAUCUUCCGGAAGGCUUAUGUUGCAGCUAGACUCCAUCAUCAGGAAAAAGUGGGUGAAGUGUUUUCCAAGGAAGAAAACGGCAACCUGCUUCACAGCGCUUAGUGUGUGCAGAGGUCACUCGGGUUUGCUAGCUGUGCACACCCCGUUGAUGGCUCUCAAUGGCAGUCAGAUAAUCUGCCAGUACAGAUGUAGAGAUGUGGAGUUGGCACACCAAAGUCUUACACGCCCACCCCGACGCCUUGUUCCUGCUCCAGGAUCCCCAAGGACAAUGUCUGGCAAUGCAGACAUUGCCUCAAGAGUGGG